UACGUAGGGUGCGAGCGUUAAUCGGAAUUACUGGGCGUAAAGCGUGCGCAGGCGGUUUUGUAAGACAGAUGUGAAAUCCCCGGGCUCAACCUGGGAACUGCGUUUGUGACUGCAAGACUCGAGUGCGGCAGAGGGGGGUGGAAUUCCACGUGUAGCAGUGAAAUGCGUAGAGAUGUGGAGGAACACCGAUGGCGAAGGCAGCCCCCUGGGCUAACACUGACGCUCAGGCACGAAAGCGUGGGGAGCGAACAGG
This 253-nucleotide ribosomal RNA is filed under the name uncultured bacterium. RNAcentral's name for it is "partial 16S ribosomal RNA". It matches the Rfam family "Bacterial small subunit ribosomal RNA", at positions 524 to 776 of the family's 1533-position model. The record is from RNAcentral.